GUCUUUUUGGUAUUUAAUAUAAAGUCUGACCUGCCCACUGAAUAUUGUUUGAAGGGCCGCAGUAUUUUGACUGUGCAAAGGUAGCAUAAUCAUUAGUCUUUUAAUUGAAGGCUGGUAUGAAUGGUUGGAUGAGAUACAAGCUGUGUCAUAAAAAUUAAUAUUUGAAUUUAACUUUUUAGUCAAAAGGCUAAAAUAAUCUUAAAAGACGAGAAGACCCCAUAGAGCUUUAUAUAAUAUAUAUUUAAUUUAUUAAGAUUUAUUAAAUUUAGUUAUUUUGUUAUAUUUUGUUGGGGUGACAAUAAAAUUUAUAAAACUUUUAUUUUUAGUUAACAUUAAUUUAUGAUUAAAUGAUCCAGUUUUAUUGAUUAUAAAUUUAAGUUACCUUGGGGAUAACAGCGUAAUUUUUUUUGAGAGUUCUUAUCGACAAAAAAGAUUGCGACCUCGAUGUUGGAUUAAGAGUAAUUUUGGGUGUAGAAGUUCAAAAUUUAAGUCUGUUCGACUUUUAGAUUCUUACAU
Molecule: ribosomal RNA, 516 nt
Filed under: Simulium mie
Lineage: Eukaryota; Metazoa; Arthropoda; Insecta; Diptera; Simuliidae
Description: partial 16S ribosomal RNA
Rfam family: Bacterial large subunit ribosomal RNA
Source: RNAcentral